UUUUAAUCAUUUACACUACCAUUAUACUUUAUUCAUGCCUCCAGGCCUCUGCUUCUCUCUUCCCCUUUCUUAGGGUUUGAAAGGUGGAUCGGAGACAGAGCCAUGGAAUAUUUUCACACCUGGCUGAAACCAGGUCAGGCAGCUAAUGUGUUUUCCAAGCUCAGCGGCUGCUUGUUGGAGACAGAGAAACACUGCUCAGCUAUGGAAACGCUGCAGGCACAAACCCCAACACGAGUCACGUAUGUAGACCGUGAUAUUAUGCAAAGUGCAAAAAAAAAUGGAGCAUCCUUACACUUGUAUCCUUGGUGAUGGUUAACACUGUUCUCAUACCACGCCCCCUGGAGACGCCGGGUCGCCGGCGCGCGCCCAUGACGUCAGCGGGUCUCCCGGAGAGCGGCGGUCGUCUGCACAUGAGGUGUCACUGCUGGGAAAUCCUGUUGAUAUUAGAAAUUGAAAACCUGAUAAAAACAACUUUUUAUGACUGUGGAAAUGCAGAAGUGGCCAUGACUCGGGCUGUGAACUGAAGCGGCAGAGCCCCCUUAUGAGUACUUCAUACUGGUGGUAAACGAAUGUUCUAUUGGAGAAUCGUGAUCACACAUAACUGAGACUUGUCUAAGCUACUUCUCGUUUGGAAAUGAUAUAGUGUAAUCAGGACAGCAUCCUUAAGAGCUGGUUUUGGGCAGGAGCCAAGAAGCAGUGUAUGCAUUAUGUCUUCCAGGAAAAUGCAUCUGUUCAGGUGUGAGGAUUAUAGGAGUAGCAUCUCUCCCUGCCUUGUCUAAUAUUUUAAAUGUGUGACAUUUAGGUUUGAUCUAAGAACACAAUAAGAUAUUUGCCAUAGGUUAGUGCAGUUACUUUAGCCAUAUAAAUGAAAAUGAAUUGAACUAUAUUAUGGGAGAUUGUAUUGUAUACCUGUCAGGCCCAGAAUAAGGUAUGUGGGGGCCCCAGGGGGAUCUAACUUGUGGGGGCCACUAUCAAUAAAAUUGUCAAUAAGAUAUGUUUCAAUGUUAUUAAAAAGUAUAAUGUAGUAAAUACUCCCAGUACAACAAAUGUGUUACACAUACUGUAAUGCCCCCAAUUCAUAUUAUGCCACACAGGAACCUCAGUUCACAUAUGUUACAGUGCCAGAACCACCUCAACAGCAUUGUAGUUCCUGAGCAAGCAAUGCAGCCAAACGCACACACCCAUUUAUGGGAACCAAUAAAACAAAUCAUAACAUGCCCCUCUUGCGGUCCCACAUCAUCUCUUAACAUGCUUCCAUACAGUGAAUGGCUGCCAGCACUCUGAUUGGUGGAUAGCUCCAAUAUAUUUAUAUUACCCAUACUAACCUGCACCAAACACACUACCCAAUAUUACACCUACUAAGAGCCAACCUACAAACAUCCUUUCUAGCUGUUGCUGUAGCUAACUGUUGUUGCUCUACCCAUCCCUGCGCCAACAAAUAUAAUGUAGGGGGUGAAUGACUCUAUUUCAGAUUCACUCUGCUAUAGUCACAAGCAGAACUUCUUACAAGCAAAAAAACAUCUAGAUCAAAAAAAGUCUGAAUUUACCAA
Molecule: long non-coding RNA, 1550 nt
Organism: Pseudophryne corroboree (corroboree frog)
Lineage: Eukaryota; Metazoa; Chordata; Amphibia; Anura; Myobatrachidae
Exons: 3
Source: RefSeq, a predicted model, not a curated record